Long non-coding RNA from Mauremys mutica (yellowpond turtle), 337 nucleotides. RefSeq lists it as uncharacterized. The record is from RefSeq and is a predicted model, not a curated record. NCBI's taxonomy places the organism in Eukaryota, Metazoa, Chordata, Testudines, Geoemydidae. The transcript has 3 exons.
UUCAUUGAUGAAUCAGAGGAAGAUUGGCUGUGUGGAGGAGAAAAACCUUCGCUUAAAACUAAGCAGUUUGAGAAAUGACAAGCAAUUUAAAAAAUGAAAGUUAAAUAGAUUCACUGUGCAUUUGUUUUAUAUUUGUGCUGUGGCCUCAGUGCAAUUGGGUGAUGGCAGAGCUUCAGCUGGAAGAAGAAUGGAGUGGCUGAGCUGCUGCAGCAAGACAGGCUACCAUCUGGGAGGGGUAUGGAGUUGGAGGAGUACUUGUAGGCAGCACUAUGAGAACAGCAGAUGGAUCAUGGUUAGGAUUGGAAAUGUCCCAAAUCAAGAAGCAUAAUCUUCAGGC